GAUGAACGCUGGCGGCGUGCCUAAUACAUGCAAGUCGAGCGAACGGACGAGAAGCUUGCUUCUCUGAUGUUAGCGGCGGACGUGUGAGUAACACGUGGAAAACCUACCUAUAAGACUGGGAUAACUACGGGAAACCGGAGCUAAUACCGGAUAAUAUUUUGAACCGCAUGGUUCAAAAGUGAAAGACGGUCUUGCUGUCACUUAUAGAUGGAUCCGCGCUGCAUUAGCUAGUUGGUAAGGUAACGGCUUACCAAGGCAACGAUGCAUAGCUGACCUGAGAGGGUGAUCGGCCACACUGGAACUGAGAGACGGUCCAGACUCCUAGGGGAGGCAGCAGUAGGGAAUCUUCCGCAAUAGGCGAAAGCCUGACGGAGCAACGCCGCGUGAGUGAUGAAGGUCUUCGGAUCGUAAAACUCUGUUAUUAGGGAAGAACAUAUGUGUAAGUAACUGUGCACAUCUUGACGGUACCUAAUCAGAAAGCCACGGCUAACUACGUG
Molecule: ribosomal RNA, 497 nt
Filed under: uncultured bacterium
Lineage: Bacteria
Description: partial 16S ribosomal RNA
Rfam family: Bacterial small subunit ribosomal RNA
Source: RNAcentral